CUUCAUUCUAGAAUUCACUUAAACUCUACCAAACUGCAGGCCUCACUCUCAUAGGGACAAAGCUCAUCCUAUGAUGAUUAUCCUAUGACAGGAAAAGCAGAUUAAAUGUGUCCUUAGUACCCCCAGGGCACUGAGUUAAUCAUUCACUGUUAUUCCCUUGCCGGGAAGGUGUGAGAUGUAGAAGAGAUAAGGUAUCCCAUCCAUGCUUUUCACUCUUGGAAGCAGAAUGGAAAUUCUCUUCCUUUAUGCAGAUAUAAUUAGUGGGGACUAAGUGUUUGCUCCUAAUAACCUCUAUGAUGUUAUCUGUACAUAAGGGGAUUCAAAAAGGAUGUCUUUUUUAGUAAUAACGAUGUUAUACGAUGAAAGUCAAUCACUAACACCAAAAAAAAAUCUCUAUGAUCAAUUACAAGAGUUGUUAUACAAUUCUAAUUAUGAAAAACAAAAAAAAACCAAACAGGAAAACAGGGAGUUUCAUAAAUGAUUUGAGGCUACUAUAAUACAAACACUCUGUGCUCACUAAAAUGUUAAGAAAAUUCACACAUAUUGAAGUUUGUCCAAAAAGUAACAGCAGUUUAGAUAAGCUCAUAAACAUGGUUUGCUCCCAAGCCAAAGUGUAUCAACCCAAGUCAUGUUGUUUGGAGAAUCUGAAGAAAGUGUGAAAAUUUCUAUCAUCCCCACAAAGAAGAGAUAGGAGAUCAGGAGAAUAGAGAGGAGAGAUGGGUUGUACUCAAAAAGAGCAAUGAACACCUGCCUUGUGUGCAGCAUGGGUUUCUCACAAGUGCUGACAUGGGCAAACACUCCAGGGAUCAGGGGGAAUUGGUGAUCUAGUAAAAUAUGGUCUUUAGCUAAAGGUCAAAUGAAAUUGUACUGGAAACCUUGGGGAUACUUUAAAGUGGGAACUAAAGACAGGGGCUGCUCAUUAGAGCUUUUGCUUAAGUACCAGUUUCACUUUAUCAGGGAAAUUGUUCAUUUGUGUGAAAAUGUGACCUCUGUCAGUUUGCCAAGCAGGCUGGACCCUGGGGUGAUCUCAGGCUCACGUGUGCCUGCAGAAGUUAAAGCUACCUGGGGACUACUUUCAAAGGACAUUGCCAAGGAGGUGGAAAAGGUCGAGUCAUGCUGAACAUUAAGAUUGGAAAUAGGUAAGCCAGCACAAGCCAACAUGCAGUGCAGCUCACUGUCACAGCCAGAAGGAGCUAAUUGUAUUAGUUAUGGUAAUAGUGCCCUCCAGAGGAAUUCUGCAGGAAUUCGAAAGGCAUAGGGAAAAUUAAAGGUGGUGAAGAUAAUGGAUUUAAAUACAUACUUAUAAAGCAAGUUAACAUAUUAAUCUUGCCUAGAUAAUUAAAAUAUACUUAGAAUAUAUUUUAAAUUUAGUGCUGAAAGCUAACACUAUCUUCAUAAAAAUAUCAACAAGCAAACAUGAUUUAAAUAUUUUAGGCCAUUUGUGAAUCCAUACUUAUAUUCUUGGUAUAUUCUAAAAAAUGUGAUAUGUUAUUUUAAAGUUAAAUCCAGGAAACAGUAAAGGACUGAGAUUAACGAGUUUAAAUUUGUGAUCCUGUUGUUACUUUUCCUUUGUGGUAUUUCUGAGUCUUCAGAAUUUAGUGUAAACAGUGGUAUAUUCUAACAUUAAUAUCUAGUAUCAUUGAAAUGAGGCAAAAUUAUAACAAGCACGAUCAAUUAUUGAAAGUAAAUGAAAUGGGAGACUCCAAAGCACCAGAUUAUAGACAGUAAGCCCCACUUACACCACAAAAUAUUAACGAGAUAAAAAUAGGUGAUAAAUAACUAAAUGAAAAUAAGAGGCCUCUGUGUUUAUCAUUUAAAUAUUUAUACUUUCUUAAUUUUAAAGAAUGAAUAAUGAUUAUUUCACAUAAUGAUUUAUUUUAAUUAUCAUCAAAAUUGCUUCUGCUACUUUAUUAUGUUAGACACUUAGGCAAAUGCUGGGAAAAGGGAAUUCAUAUUUAAUGAUUUCACUGCUUUUUACCUCACUCACCAUUGUUAGCCACCCAUCAUAAUGAUUUUCUGCAUUUGAAAUUGUUUCUGUAAUUUACUAAAAUAGCUAUGAAUAAUUGAAAUUUUUCUCUUGACGUUUAAUAUUAUAAACCACAAAAAGAACAAGAGUGAAAAAAUAAUAACAAAGGAAUGAGAACAACAAAUAAAAAACAGUAACAAAUAUGGUAGAUAAGUUAA
RNAcentral lists this long non-coding RNA (2184 nucleotides) under Sus scrofa (pig). Its description in RNAcentral is "lncRNA (ENSSSCG00025075570.1, ENSSSCG00035011392.1)". Lineage: Eukaryota; Metazoa; Chordata; Mammalia; Artiodactyla; Suidae. The record is from RNAcentral.